AUCAACCUCUAAUUGGUGGAAUUUCGGGUUCAGGAUACCAAUCUCGACCUUAUCAAUACACCCAAAUAAUCAUGAUCCAAAACUUUAAACUCUUCCACACUCUGGUUGCUCAAGAUUUGUACCCACUUAGGACACAAAAGGGAAGGUGUUUGCAGCCACAAAGGCUAGAGAAGAACAAGAAGAAAACCGGCCAAAGAGAAGCACAAAGCAAAAAGGCAGGGCUUGUUUUUUCUCUCAAACAAAAAACACACAUUAAUGACAAACAAAUGAGGCUAGCAUAUAUAUAGGUUAGGUUAGGUUAAAGUGAUGGGCCCAAGCCCAAUACAAAUACGGUAAGUGGGCCAACAUAUAUAAGUCAUCCAAUGAGUGUAGAAAUCGGGCCAUAAGCAACACUAAUUAAUUAGGUUGCUUCCAAUGGUCCAAAUAAUCUUAGGGUUGGGUCAUCAAUCUUGGGUGUCGAUAUUUAAUUUAUCUAAUAUCGAUUUAACAUCAUCGUCCGGAUUAUUAGGUAUUAAAACCCAACAAUCUCCACCUUGAUGCAUAAUAAUCUGCAAGCAAACAAAACACAUAGUUUAUACUUGCACAAGCAAGAUAAUCCAAUAAAAUUGGUAUCACAGACCUUAUCUCGUGUUUCGAACUUAAAACAUAUACCUUACGUGCUCCAUGUACUCAUCAGAGUUAAGGUCCAAAAAAACUCAAGUAGGAACAAGUAUUCACUAGGCCUGGGCGUGGUUUGGUUUGGAUCGGUUUCAACCUCAACCCGAAAUCAAAACCAAAUUAGUCGGUUUGGAAAAUUUUCAACCCAAACCUACCCACUCUAGCUUUUAAACCAAACCAACCAAAACCAAAUCGGUUCGGUUCGGUUUGGUUUGUCGGUUUAGACUUUUAAAUAUUAUCGCAUAAUAAAAAAUGAAAAGUCAUGCAAAAAAUAAUAUAUGCCAUUCAAUUUAAAUACUCACACUGACAUAGACAAUAACCAACACAUAACCAUAGGUAAACCGAAUCUUCGUCAAGCUUUUUUCCAUCCCAAUAUAAUCCAAAUUCAAGAGUAAGAAAAUAAAUUUUAUGUUACAAGAAAGAAACUCAAGCACAAAAAAUAAAUUUUGUUAACAUCUAAUGUAUAGACUUGAGGAAAAUAAAAUGUCCAAGAAAGUGAAAUCGAAGUUCCAAAAGUUGUCUACCAAGCACGGCCAUCAUCUUGAAUCACCUUCACCUACAAAACUGGUAACUUAAAAUUAUAUUUCAUUGUAAAGAUAUGAUCAAAUGCGAUGCAAAACAAUAAAAUUACCUUACGCAAACACCUAAAAUGACUUAUUUAUCUUUGAUGUUGGAAUCUUCAUCCGUUUUCGUUACUUCCGAAAGAUCUAAAAAAUAAAAUGAUUCAAUUAGUAGUAAAUGAAUUUGAAACACAUGUAAUUAACACACUUAAUGAAAUAGUUAAUUAAUAAUUAUCUUCAUCCAAUUUAUUAUAAUACUCUACAUCCUCCAUGUAAAAUUUGUCUUCGCUUGGAGUAGAUUUGAGUGCAAACUAAAAUCUUGACCAUCUUAGCAGUUAAAGAACUACGAAAUGGGUCUAGAAUUCUUCCCCCUAUACUGAAUGCACUUUCUGAAGUCAUCGUAGACACUUGAAUUGCCAACACAUCUUUUGCAAGUUUGGACAAUAUUCUAUACUUAAUUCCAUGUACCUUCCACCAAUCAAGGACAUCAAACUCCUCCUCUUCUAUAUCUUCACAAACAUCCAAUAAAUAUCUUUCCAAGUCAUUUUUUAUCUCAACUGAAUCUUUUGCUGCUUGUUGUUCUUUAAACUUGGAAAUACGAGUAGAAGAUGCACACUUGCAGAUGUAUCCAUCGAUACUUGACUUCUUCGUGGACUUCCCUCAUACAUCACAUACCAGUCAUAAAUUGAAAACAAAUUUUCCUUCAAUGUUUGGGUCAUUGUACUAGCCAUUUUUUUAUCAUUAUAAAUAUCACAAAAUCAAUACUGAACAUAAUCUAAUUUAUAUCUGGGAUCAAACAUGGUAGCAAUCAACAACAUUUGAUUGACAUUGUCCAUAUUCCCCCAAUACUUAUGAAAUUUUCUCUUUAUAUUAGCAGCCAUUUCACCUAAAAGAUAAUUUUUACUUGAACUCCAAUUUGCUAAAUCCGCUACAAAUGAACAUACUUCAUGAAGAUAAAUUGUGGAGCUAACAUGUAAUGAAGUACUGAACUUUAAAGUGAUUUCAUAAAGCCCUUUAAGAAACUUGAUAAAAAUAGAUGAAUAUCACUUACUAAAGGGGUCCACCUCUUCUUCUACCACCAUCAUCCUCUCGAAAUUAACUUUAAGUAAUGUCCAUCCUCCUCUUCUAAGUGCUUGAAAGCUUUUUGAUACUUCAAAGCAGCCUCCAACAUUAAAUAGGUAGAAUUCCACCUUGUAGGCAUAUCUAGAAACACAAGUGAUUUUGAUUUGAUCUUUUCUUUAGUUGCGCACUCUUUCAAUUUUUCGUAUCUAGCAGGAGAGGAUUUUACAUACUUCACUGCAUUACAAAUACUAACUAUAGAAUCAUGUGCUUCCUUCAGCCCCUCACGCACUAUCAAGUUAAUGAUAUGUGCACAACAUCUCAUGUGUAAAUAUUUUCCAUCCAAAACACACCCAUCAUUACCCUAACCAAUCAUCUUCCAAGAUAUGAAAUAGCCGUUUCAUUUGCAAUAGCGUUGUCCACUGUGAUUGUAAACACCUUGUCAAGGCGCCACUCAAGCAAGCAACUUUCUAUAACCUUGCCGAUGGUUUCACCCUUGUGAUUAGGUAUCACACAAAAAUUCAAAAUUCUUUUCUUAAGCAUCCAAUUAGAGUUAACGUAAUGGGCUAUAAGAGACAUAAUUUAUAUUUUGAAUGGAUAUCCAAAUAUCUGUAGUAAGUGAAACUCUUUGACGUUGAGUUGUAAGGUUCUUUCUCAACUCUAAUUUCUCACUCAAAUAUAGUUGGUAAAUAUCCCUCACAAUAGUCCUACGCGAUGGAAGAUCAAAUUUAGGACAUGCUACACUACAAAAGUGUCUAAAUCCCAUCCCUUCAACAAAACUAAAAGGUAGUUCAUCGACAACCACCAUUCUUGUGCAUGCUAAUCUACACACUUCCUUACUAAACCCAAUAGCCAUAAGAUUGGUCCCACCACCAAUUUGUUUAUCAAAACUUAAGAUUUUUUGCCUUUUGUCACCCACCCUACCAGGAUACUUUUUACAAUGUUUAACUAAAUGACAUUUUAAAGUACUAGUCUCAUAUUUCUUAGCCCCAUAGGCAUAAGAUUGCCCACAAUAUUUACACUCACACCUGACAUCUUCAGCUUUUGGAUCUCCCAUUAUCGUGAAAUGAUCCUAUACAUCCGAAGUUUUCCUGUUAUGCUUUCUCUUCCCUAAACAUGACGGUGGAAGUGGAGGAAGCUUCGUAAUAUUUCUACCUGGAAUUGAUGUUGCUGGGUUUUCUCUAAUGUAUUCACAGUCAUUGUCAAUAUCCAUAUUCAAACACCUGCACAUAGUGUACAUGUAUUACAUUAAAAUUCAGAUUUUAGUUACUAAGGCAAAUUAAAUAAAAUGACAGAUUACAGUUUACAAAUAAAGGAUUUUCAGAUUGUUAAUUUACACUUACAAGUUACAAAGAUUAAAUAGAAAUAUGGAUUCCACAAUCUCAAAUAUGGAUUACAGAUUUACAGAUUUAAAUAGAAACAGUUUACAGAUGCGUUCCACAAUCUCAAAUAUAGAUUACAGAUUUCAUAUUACACAUACAAAUGCAAUAGAUUUCAGAUUUCCACGAGAUAGAGCAGGGGCACAGCCGCUUAAGAGCUAACUCAAUCAAUAAACUCCACGACAAGAGAUUUGUAUAAAUUAUAAAGCCAACAGAAAGAAAAAUCCAGACAUAAAUUAACACUCAAGCAAAAUAGUCAAAACACAAAAAUCGAACUAGAUCAAAUGAGGAAAUGAAUACUAGAUUACCUUGCAGCUACGACGUCGGACUGUCGGAAUCUCGGUGAGUUGAAGUUGAUUUUAGGCUUUAGGAGUAAUAUAGGAGCUAGGAAAAAGCGCUCGAAUUUGGAUUGCAACGGGAGUUGGAGACGGCGAUGAGAGAUUGGAGAAACCGAGUAUAAUGAGAUUAGUUUAGGAUAACCGAGUGACGGAGUGAAUUGUGAUUUGGGAAUGAAAUAUGUGAUUCACUGAUUUGGAACGGAAAAAAAAAAAACCUUCGUGGAUUAGGCCAGUUCGGUACCCCAUCGGUUUGAGCCUUCAAACUGUGAACCGAACCAACCCAAUUUGAUUUUGCGUUAUAAAAACUAAACCAACCCAAAAGAUUGAAUCGAACCAACCCGAACCAGUUCGGUUUGAUUGGUUUAGGCGGUUUACCGGUUUUUUGCCCAGCCCUAGUAUUCACAGUGAACAAAUAAUCAUGCGAUGAAGAUAUUAUAUAGAAUAAUACACAGAUCUUUUUAAAAUCUCGUUCACAUAGAGCCAAAGAUUAACAUCAAGUUAAUCAGCAUACGGUCAAACACAUAUGCAACAAAUGUAUAAAUGACCCCACGAAAGAUCUUACCACACUUAUCCUAUCCCAUUUCAUGUUUCUUCCAUCUCGAGAACACGUAUCUCUCCUCAUCGCCCACCAUGCUCACUAAAUAAUCACUCAACUCAUGUCUAAGUCGCAAGUCACAAUAAAUCCUAAGCUCUUGGGAUAAUCCUCUAUCACCACGUCACUUCUCCCAAGCUACGUGGAUAAUGGGUCUCCACCUUACCGAAGUGAUAGAAGUGUCUCUCUCACACUCCACGAGUACAGGGUCUCUUUCACAGAUAAAGGAUUCUAGACAUUUGAUCACAUCUUCACUCGUUAUCCAAAUGUCACAUUUUACAUCCCCGGUACAAACCACAAUGUACCCCUAAGCAUUUAUACUCCACCUUACCAAAAGACAUACAACUCACUGCUAAUACAUCCUAACCCAUUAUGCAUGCAAACAAUCACAUCAAUUAAUCACAUUACCUCAAAUUCAUGCUAACACACAUAUCAAACAAAUUGAAAUGCAGCAUAUAAUCAUGCAACGGAAUUAGGGAAUCACACAUAUGCAAAAAGGAUCACACACGGAUGCAUAUGCAGCAACUAGGUUUACUCUCAAUAAACCUCACUAGGACCAUAACUCGACCCCUCAACUACAUUCGUCUCACCUCUCACAUUACCCCUCUGCUUAUCCUUCUUCUUGGGACAGUCCUUAAUAAAGUGUCCAGACAUACCACAGUUGUAACACCGUUUACCACUAGACUUGUCCCGUCCUUUGCCCUUCUUCUUACUACCUUCAUCACUCGAGUCACUAAUCGAAUCACCACUAUUUUGAGCUCUACCCAAAUUCAUUUGCUUAAACUUCAUCACACUCCUUAUCAUGUGUAUUUUCACCACUCCUCUUAUAUUCAUUUUCAGCUUUAAUUUCUAUUUCCUUAUUCCUAAGUGAAUCUAUGACAAUCUUGAGUGUUAGGGUGUACUUACCAUACUUAAUUGCAUUCUUAACCUCUCUAUAUGAAUCAGACAUGGAAUUAAGUAAGAUAAUUGCUUUAUAUGUUUCAGACACCUUUUUAUCACAGUUAACAAUGUCUUGAACAAGUUUGUUAAAAGUAUCUGGAUUGUCGUCAAGAUCCUUUGAAAGAUCCAUUUUAAAACUGAAAAAUCUUUCAAAUAAGUACAACUUAUUAGGAGUGGACUUAAGCAAAUAUAAUUCCUCCAACUUUUUCCAAAGUUCUUUUGUGAAAUCCAAUUUUCCAACUUUUCUCAAAACAGUGUCUGGUAAAUGUAAGAUAAUCGAAGUGUAAGCAAGUUCAUCGUAUUCCUCUUUUUGUGUUUCUGUCAAAUUUGAGGAAAAUUUGCGAUCUAUGGCCUUCGAAACUUUUUGUUGAAUUAAAAUCCCCCUCAUCUUUUGUUGUCAAAUUGAAAAAUUCCCUUUCCCAUUGAAAAUACCACUUUAAAAUGUGAAGACAUUUUUGGAAAAACAGAGCAACUAAAUGCAUAGAUAGGUCACAAAAAGUAAUCCUACGGCCGCAAUAACGCUGUUCUAGAUUCCCAGCACCGCCUUCAUUUGCAGAUCACAAAUCUGGCCUCCGUUUCACCAAAAGACGUCUGGAUUGGCCAAAAAUUGAGGUUGCAGAUUCAGUUUUUUUUGAAAAAUUUCUGGACAGUUUAAUCCGGCUGGUUUCUGCUUUGAUUCUGGUCAGAAAUUCCACCCCAACCUCACUGUAAUACCAAAUGUUGAAUAAUUGACCUCCAAUUGGUGGAAUUUCGGGCUCAAGAUACCAAUCUCGACCUUAUCAAUACACCCAAGCAAUCACGACCCAAAACCUUAAACUCUUCCAUACUUCAGUUGCUCAAGAUUUGUACCCACUUAGGACACAAAAGGGACGGUGUUUGCAGCCACAAAGGCCAGAGAAGAACAAGAAGAAAACCGGCCAAAGAGAAGCACAAAGCAAAGAGGCAGGACUUGUGUUUUCUCUCAAACAAAAAACACACAUUAAUGACAAACAAAGGAGGCUAGC
This 6528-nucleotide long non-coding RNA is filed under the name Olea europaea subsp. europaea. The record is from RNAcentral. Lineage: Eukaryota; Viridiplantae; Streptophyta; Magnoliopsida; Lamiales; Oleaceae.